Molecule: ribosomal RNA, 163 nt
Filed under: uncultured bacterium
Lineage: Bacteria
Description: partial 16S ribosomal RNA
Rfam family: Bacterial small subunit ribosomal RNA
Source: RNAcentral
AAUGCCGCGUGUGUGAAGAAGGCCUGCGGGUUGUAAAGCACUUUUAUUAGGAAAGAAAUGGCCUGGGUUAAUAACCCAUGGCAGCUGACGGUACCUAAUGAAUAAGCACCGGCUAACUCCGUGCCAGCCACGGCGGUGACUGAGCGGGCUGGCAAGGCGCAUA